RNAcentral lists this long non-coding RNA (332 nucleotides) under Anas platyrhynchos platyrhynchos (common mallard). RNAcentral describes it as "lncRNA (ENSAPLG00000026424.1)". Lineage: Eukaryota; Metazoa; Chordata; Aves; Anseriformes; Anatidae. The record is from RNAcentral.
UGGGUUUUGGGGGGUUUUGGGGCGGGAGGAGCACAAUUGGGUGGUUUUGGGCUGGAAAGGAGUGAAUUUGGGUUGGUUUUGGGUAGAGAAAAGCACAUUUUUGUUAGUUUUGGGUAGAGAAAAGCACAUUUUGGUUGGUUUUGGGUGCAAUAAUCGCUGUUUUGUUGUUUUUGGGGUAGAGAUGAGCAUAUUUGGGUUGGUUUUGGGUAGAGAAAAGCACAUUUUUUUUAGUUUUGGGUAGAGAAGAGCACAUUUGGGUUAGUUUUGGGUAGAGAAGAGCACAUUUUGGGUUUUUUGGUGCGAUAACUGCCGUUGGGUCAUUUUUGGGGUGG